CCCAUAUGCAAUAUAUUCUUCAAGGCCAGCUGCUUAAAUUUCUCCAACACUAUGGCUUUCCAAAUGACUUUGAUGGCUUGUAAUAAUUAUACUGGUUUAAAUGCAUGUCAUGUCCUUUUCAAAAAACAUUCAUGCCAGGGCCAAUGUUCUGAUGCCAAAUCUUUCGGCUUGGAAAAGGCCUUUAAAAUGAGCUAAGCUU
This 199-nucleotide long non-coding RNA is filed under the name Elaeis guineensis (African oil palm). Its description in RNAcentral is "long non-coding RNA (EGUI_LNC001276)". The record is from RNAcentral. Lineage: Eukaryota; Viridiplantae; Streptophyta; Magnoliopsida; Arecales; Arecaceae.